CCUACGGGGGGCUGCAGUGAGGAAUAUUGGUCAAUGGCCGGAAGGCUGAACCAGCCAUGCCGCGUGAAGGUCAGUGCCCUAUGGGCGUUAAACUUCUUGUGAGGGGGAAGAGCAGUAGACGGUACCCCUUGAAUAAGCCACGGCUAACUACGGGCCAGCAGCCGCGGUAAUACGUAGGUGGCAAGCGUUGUCCGGAUUUACUGGGGGUAAAGGGCGUGCAGCCGGAGAGACAAGUCAGAUGUGAAAUCCACGGGCUCAACCCGUGAGCUGCAUUUGAAACUGUUUCCCUUGAGUGUCGGAGAGGUAAUCGGAAUUCCUUGUGUAGCGGUGAAAUGCGUAGAUAUAAGGAAGAACACCAGUGGCGAAGGCGGAUUACUGGACGAUAACUGACGGUGAGGCGCGAAAGCGUGGGGAGCAAACAGGAUUAGAUACCCGAGUAGUC
This 442-nucleotide ribosomal RNA is filed under the name uncultured bacterium. RNAcentral's name for it is "partial 16S ribosomal RNA". It matches the Rfam family "Bacterial small subunit ribosomal RNA", at positions 338 to 795 of the family's 1533-position model. The record is from RNAcentral.